GACGAACGCUGGCGGCGUGCUUAACACAUGCAAGUCGAGCGGUAAGGCCCUUUCGGGGGUACACGAGCGGCGAACGGGUGAGUAACACGUGGGUGACCUGCCCUCAGCUCUGGGAUAAGCCUGGGAAACCGGGUCUAAUACCGGAUAUGACUCCAUGACGCAUGUUGUGGGGUGGAAAGCCUUGUGCGGCUGAGGAUGGGCCCGCGGCCUAUCAGCUUGUUGGUGGGGUGAUGGCCUACCAAGGCGACGACGGGUAGCCGGCCUGAGAGGGCGACCGGCCACACUGGGACUGAGACACGGCCCAGACUCCUACGGGAGGCAGCAGUGGGGAAUCUUGCGCAAUGGGCGAAAAGCCUGACGCAGCGACGCCGCGUGAGGGAUGACGGCCU
This 389-nucleotide ribosomal RNA is filed under the name uncultured bacterium. RNAcentral describes it as "bacterial SSU rRNA". It matches the Rfam family "Bacterial small subunit ribosomal RNA", at positions 28 to 417 of the family's 1533-position model. The record is from RNAcentral.